Molecule: long non-coding RNA, 1273 nt
Organism: Glossina fuscipes
Lineage: Eukaryota; Metazoa; Arthropoda; Insecta; Diptera; Glossinidae
Exons: 3
Source: RefSeq, a predicted model, not a curated record
AAAAGAGGAAAAAGAUGGAGGUCGGAUCGCGUGAAAAUAAAGAAAAUUUAAGAAAAGGGAUUAAAAAGAAUAAUGCUGAACUUUUAUCAAAGAAAAAGAUUCUUGAAAGUGGAAUACCAGAAAUCUGCUAAUUUAACAAAAUAAAAUUAAUAUAAAGCAUUAUUAGAUAAAUUUCUACCCGCCUGAGUGGCCGAGUAAGCAAAAGUCUCGACGACCAACUCGGUGUUCGUGGGUUCAAAUCUCAAGUACGGACGGCAAGCAAUUGAUAAAUUAAAAAUACAAAAAAAAAAAAGUAUCGGACACAAAAUAUAUGUGAAUUGAUUUACAAGAAAGAGACGAAUUUGAGAAUUAAUAACGAAGCGGAGGAAACAGAUGACAGUUACGAAAGAUAUUGAACGGAAGUGUGAUGUCUGCGGCGAGAAAGUUGCUUUGUAAAAUAACUAAGAAUGUGUAAUAAACAUUAAAUUUAGUUAUAACUUCAUUUAUCUAUGCCUAAUAUGUGUAUACUAAAGAAUUUCAGUAAAAAAUUCCACGGUAUGGCUGUUUGGAACUUUAUUUUUUUUGUUGUCAGGUGUACAUAAUCAUUUCUUACAAACAGAAAAUAUAAACAGCAAAAAACAUGUUUAAGAAUAGUCAUCUUGUUGCCUCGACACUGUACAAAAAUUUCAAAUAGGAAAAAAAACACUACUUAACGUCAUCAUUAUUUUCAACCUUGGCACAGGUGCCAAACCGUUAUCGUAUGAAGUGGCAAUUGACCAUUAUCUUAUGAGGUCUUUCAUUUAAUUUUAUUCCGUUGCACUCAUCAUUUUUGUAAGAUAGCGUUAGAGGUCUUCGGACCCAAAUUUGGGUUUACCAAUAAACAUCAUGGGCCAAAGCAGGGUGAAGAAAGGCCCAGGGCUUAGUGUAUACACGUUCGUUAAGCUAGAUUUCAUUCAUCUGAGUGUUCGUUUACGAAUCAUCAAAAGAACAAGUCAUGAAGUAGUCGUUAAAUCAUUACCAUCCAUAGAUUUACGUUGGUAAAGUGGUGCCCAUGAUGAGGACUGAUAAGUUUGGAAAAAGAGGAUUUACAAACACGCAAUGUUACAAAUGCUUCUUCAAAAUGUUUAUAUUUUUCUGAACUCAUAUUUUUAUAUUCAUAUGCCUCCAACUUCAUGUACCCUCUAAUUUUAACAUUCAUUUUAUUACAUAUUUUGUUUUAUAGUUUCGUAGUUUCCGUUCUCAUUCAUUUCUUCAUAUCUUCAGUUCUUUUAUUUAUAUUUUCCUAUUAGUAAUU